ACGCUCGACACCUACGGGGCAGCAGUGGGGAAUAUUGCACAAUGGGGGAAACCCUGAUGCAGCAACGCCGCGUGAGUGAAGAAGUAUUUCGGUAUGUAAAGCUCUAUCAGCAGGGAAGAUAAUGACGGUACCUGACUAAGAAGCUCCGGCUAAAUACGUGCUAGCAGCCGCGGUAAUCUGAGCGGGCUGGCAAGGC
This 196-nucleotide ribosomal RNA is filed under the name uncultured bacterium. RNAcentral's name for it is "partial 16S ribosomal RNA". It matches the Rfam family "Bacterial small subunit ribosomal RNA", at positions 326 to 539 of the family's 1533-position model. The record is from RNAcentral.